Nomascus leucogenys (northern white-cheeked gibbon) is the source of this 476-nucleotide long non-coding RNA. RefSeq lists it as uncharacterized. The transcript is spliced from 2 exons. NCBI's taxonomy places the organism in Eukaryota, Metazoa, Chordata, Mammalia, Primates, Hylobatidae. The record is from RefSeq and is a predicted model, not a curated record.
GGCCUGGGUUUGGAUUUAAGGCCUGGAUGAGGUCUUAGAAAGGAGAUUCUGACACAAGCUACAACAUGGAUGAAUCUUAAGGACAUUAUGAUGUCUCUAACGUCAGAGAGUUCUUUGUACGAUGCAAGCCCCUGGAGGGUGAAGCUACUUCUGCCCAGCUCUCUUUGCACAACAUUACAAGCAAGUGGACACUGAGAGGAUUGUUGAUGCUCACAGUGGUGGUGCCUCCUCUACUGCAAAAAGAAUUAUAUAUAUAAAGGAUCUUCUCCAAACCCCACACUCCACUCCCACUCAGGACAAUCCCUGAUGAGCUACAGGCACUCAGGAAAUGUUUGGGCCAUGAAUAAAUACAUGAAGUAAAGUCUGUAACAUUUAACAAGUCAGGAGCAGCACCCAAUUAGCCACUCUUAGUUCUUUUUUUUUCCCAGCUUUAUGAACGUGUGAUUGACAAAUAAAAAUCGUGUAUGUUGAAGGUG